CCUACGGGAGGCAGCAGUGGGGGAUAUUGCACAAUGGGGGAAACCCUGAUGCAGCGACGCCGCGUGGGUGAAGAAGCGCCUCGGCGCGUAAAGCCCUGUCAGCAGGGAAGAAAAUGACGGUACCUGAAGAAGAAGCCCCGGCUAACUACGUGCCAGCAGCCGCGGUAAUACGUAGGGGGCAAGCGUUAUCCGGAUUUACUGGGUGUAAAGGGGGCGCAGACGGCGAGGCAAGCCCGGUGUGAAAGCCCGGGGCCCAACCCCGGGACUGCUCUUGGAACUGCGUGGCUAGAGUGCAGGAGGGGCAGGCGGAAUUCCUGGUGUAGCGGUGAAAUGCGUAGAUAUCAGGAGGAACACCGGUGGCGAAGGCGGCCUGCUGGACUGCAACUGACGUUGAGGCCCGAAAGCGUGGGGAGCAAACAGGAUUAGAUACCCUUGUAGUC
This 440-nucleotide ribosomal RNA is filed under the name uncultured bacterium. RNAcentral's name for it is "partial 16S ribosomal RNA". It matches the Rfam family "Bacterial small subunit ribosomal RNA", at positions 338 to 795 of the family's 1533-position model. The record is from RNAcentral.